CGUGAUGGCGACCGGCGCACGGGUGAGUAACACGUAUCCAACCUGCCGAUAACUCGGGGAUAGCCUUUCGAAAGAAAGAUUAAUACCCGAUGGUAUAAUCAGACCGCAUGGUUUGAUUAUUAAAGAAUUUCGGUUAUCGAUGGGGAUGCGUUCCAUUAGGCAGUUGGUGAGGUAACGGCUCACCAAACCUUCGAUGGAUAGGGGUUCUGAGAGGAAGGUCCCCCACAUUGGAACUGAGACACGGUCCAA
Molecule: ribosomal RNA, 249 nt
Filed under: uncultured bacterium
Lineage: Bacteria
Description: partial 16S ribosomal RNA
Rfam family: Bacterial small subunit ribosomal RNA
Source: RNAcentral